GACGAACGCUGGCGGCGUGCUUAACACAUGCAAGUCGAACGGAAAGGCCCAGCUUGCUGGGUGCUCGAGUGGCGAACGGGUGAGUAACACGUGGGUGAUCUGCCUCUAACUUCGGGAUAAGCUUGGGAAACUGGGUCUAAUACCGGAUAGGACAAUCGUUUAGUGUCGGUUGUGGAAAGUUUUUUCGGUUAGGGAUGAGCCCGCGGCCUAUCAGCUUGUUGGUGGGGUAAUGGCCUACCAAGGCGUCGACGGGUAGCCGGCCUGAGAGGGUGGACGGCCACAUUGGGACUGAGAUACGGCCCAGACUCCUACGGGAGGCAGCAGUGGGGAAUAUUGCACAAUGGGCGCAAGCCUGAUGCAGCGACGCCGCGUGGAGGAUGACGGCCUUCGGGUUGUAAACCUCCUUCGACAGGGACGAAGCUUUGGUGACGGUACCUGUAUAAGAAGCACCGGCUAACUACGUG
RNAcentral lists this ribosomal RNA (464 nucleotides) under uncultured bacterium. RNAcentral's name for it is "partial 16S ribosomal RNA". It matches the Rfam family "Bacterial small subunit ribosomal RNA", at positions 28 to 507 of the family's 1533-position model. The record is from RNAcentral.